RNAcentral lists this ribosomal RNA (426 nucleotides) under uncultured bacterium. RNAcentral describes it as "bacterial SSU rRNA". It matches the Rfam family "Bacterial small subunit ribosomal RNA", at positions 359 to 776 of the family's 1533-position model. The record is from RNAcentral.
GAAUUGUUCGCAAUGGGCGCAAGCCUGACGACGCAACGUCGCGUGGAGGAUGAAGGUCUUCGGAUUGUAAACUCCUGUUGACCGGGAAGACUGGACCCCGACUUCAUACUCCGGGGUAUUGACGGUCACGGUUGAGGAAGCCACGGCUAACUCUUGUCCAGCAGCCGCGGUAAUACAGAGGUGGCAAGCGUUGUUCGGAAUUACUGGGCGUAAAGGGCGCGUAGGCGGUCGCCUCAGUCGGACGUGAAAUCCCCAAGCUUAACUUGGGAACUGCGUCCGAUACUGGGUGACUUGAGUUCGGGAGAGGAAUGUGGAAUUCCAGGUGUAGCGGUGAAAUGCGUAGAUAUCUGGAGGAACACCGGUGGCGAAGGCGGCAUUCUGGACCGAAACUGACGCUGAGGCGCGAAAGCCAGGGGAGCAAACGGG